UUACCAGCUUGACAUGAGAAAUUCCGCAAGGCACAGGUGCUGCAUGGUUGUCGUCAGCUCGUGCCUUGAGGUGUUCGGUUAAGUCCGUUAACGAGCGCAACCCUGUCUGUGUUUUUUCACAGAGACUGCCGAUUUUAAUCGGAGGAAGGUAAGGAUGACGUCAAAUCAGCAUGGCCCUUAUGCUGGGCUACACACGUGCUACAAUGGGGUACAAGGGGCACCGUAAGGGGAGCAAUCCUAAACCGUCUCAGUUCGGAUUGAGGGCUGCAACUCGCCCUCAUGAAGUUGGAAUCGCUAGUAAACGCGAUCAGCAUGCGCGUUGAAUAUGUUCCUGGGUCUUGUACUCACCGCCCGUCACAUCACGAAAGGUGGGGACCGAA
This 380-nucleotide ribosomal RNA is filed under the name uncultured bacterium. Its description in RNAcentral is "bacterial SSU rRNA". It matches the Rfam family "Bacterial small subunit ribosomal RNA", at positions 971 to 1425 of the family's 1533-position model. The record is from RNAcentral.